Molecule: long non-coding RNA, 3349 nt
Organism: Chionomys nivalis (European snow vole)
Lineage: Eukaryota; Metazoa; Chordata; Mammalia; Rodentia; Cricetidae
Exons: 2
Source: RefSeq, a predicted model, not a curated record
CCCUUUUCAAAUGAAAAACUAAUACAAAGUGUGGUUCACUCAGUUACGUGAGUCAUACUUGAGGAAGUUAUAAAUUUAGGAUUUGAUCUAGUUAUGGCUAGAUGAGCUCAGUCUCCCACACAUUUCCCAGUGCAAUCAAGACCAAAGCCUCUAUUUAAUGUCUACUAAUCUUACCAGAUAAAAGACACGAGAGCAGGAAAAGACCCAGUGCAAAAGAAAAACAGCAGUUCAAGCGGGCCUUAUAUCCCUGUCUCUGUUAGAAGUUCACAACUAAAGACUGGCUAUAUAAAUCAAAGACAGAAUGCUUGCCCAGUAUGCACAGAUCCUGGGUUCCAUGGCCAGCACCUGGAGUCAGAAUUAGCCUUUUUGCUUCCUAGGGAUCAUUUUAGUUUGACAAAAAUCAUGUGGGAUAAAUAAAUUGCUUUUAAUUAUAUUAAGAUUAAUCAGAAUUUUUUAUAGCCACAUUAGUAUACCUAUACUACUCCUUAUACUUGUAAAUUAAUCUUCUAGUUCUUGUUGAAAAGUAUGACUGUUAUAUUUCUCCAAAAUUAUUAUUUAACCCCCAGCCCUGGGCAUAGGGACUCACACUUUUAAUUCUAGCACUCAGGAGGUAGAGGCAGGCAAAUCUCUAUGAGUUUGUGGUGAACCUGGCUGACAGCAAGAUCUAGGCAAGCCAAGACUACAUAGCUAAACUUACUCUCAAGAACAAAGCAAUAAGAAGAGAAAAAGAAAACAAAACAAAUAAACAAAAAAAAACAUAAAUGUGUACCCUCGGUAGAGGGAAGAUAUGAAAUGCCAUGAGGAAAUAUCCACGGAUCCUUUGAAAUGGUGAUCAUACUAUAUGAAACUUCCAGAGAGAGGAGGAAGUGCCUAUAUCAAACUCAGCCCAACUGCUUAGCAAUGCGUAGAAUUUAGCAAUGACAUGAAACAACUUACUAACUAACCUAAACAGUUACUGCAUUGUGACAAUCUGGAUCAUCAACUUGAAAGCGUUUAGAAUCACCUAGGAGACACACUGCCGGACUUGUCUGUGAGGGCAUUUGCAGAGUGGUUUAACUGAGGAGGGAACAGUACCCUUGCUGUCAGUAGCACCCUCCUAUGGCCUGAGGUCCUGGACUGAAUAAAAAAAGAAGACAGCUGGUGGAAUGCCUGCCCUUGUCUCUGUCUACCUCCCGACUGCAAAGGCAGAGUGACCAGGGGCUCACACUGCUGCAGUGUACCUCCCCCAUUGUGAUGGGCUGUACUCCCAAACUAUCAGCCAAAAUACUCGUUCCUUCCUUCAGCUGCUUUCAUCAGGAUUUUAUCACAGCAAUUAUCUGUGAUGUGCGAGUGAUUAGUACAUACAGAGAGACGAUUUAGUACUUACCCUUACUUCUCUUCACUUAACUAGAAAUCUGGACUAGAGAAAAGAGAAUUGGUAUCUGACCUGUCCUUCCCACCUGACAACUCAAGAGUUAGGUUUCGCAGAGCUGCUUAGGAGUUGAUGUUCAUGUGAGACACAAUCACACCCAGAAUUGUACAACUAAAGGAGAUCUCCAGGAACAAAGUGCUUAAUUCUACCUACCGAUUAGUUGUGUGUUAUGUUUAUAUAGUGGUGUAUAUAAAGCCUCUUUUUUGUUUGAUCUAAUCUCAUGAGAGCUAAAUGAAAUAUCAUAUGUUGGCCAGAGUUAUGUCAUCAUAUUCUUUGUUUAUAUUAAAACAAGCUCUACCAGAUUUUGUUUGUAGUAACAACACAUAACUAACAUGUUUCCAGAUACAUUAGCAAAGCCUACUAAGGCAGGAAUUUAUCCUCAGACAGCUCACAUGGUUAUGUCUUAAAAGCCAACAUUUUCUUUCCCCAGGCAUGCCAUUGUUUUUUUUUAACCAUACUUAACUCUAAAGAAUCUGUAAAGCAUGACAUAAUGACUGAGAAAAGGGGUUCAAAAUGAGAACAUACAGAUUUAACCCAAAUCAUAGCAAAUUAUCCUUGACCCUAUAUCCCUGAUCCAAUACUGUGUAACUACCUCAUCUAUAUUACUUAAAGAACUUAAAGGGAUAAAGCAUAUAAAGGCUCAUUACGUUUUCCAUAGAUGUUAAAAAUUAUGUUCAUAAAUUGACAGAAAUAUUUGAGAGUGUGUUGAGCUUUCAAGUCAUAUGAUUUCCACUUACCUUCUCCACAUUCAUUGUUCUCCUCUUUUCAAAGCCCAAAUGGAGCAUGCAUCUUCCUCAGUGUUUUGGUUUUUAAUAAAUAGCUCAGCAUGCAUGCAUAUAUAUAAAUAUAAAUAUAUAUAAAACAUUUGCUCAUUUUAUAGUAACUCUAUGAUUUCCAUUUCAUUCUUGAAUCUAAAUUUUCAUAUCUAUUAGAUGUAUCAAACUAAUUUAAUAAGAUAAAUUUGGUUUCUGCUAGUUGUUGUUCCUUUGGAGACAAGGCCACACAUGCGCAGAAAAUACAGUCUCCAAGUGGACUACAAACCCCAAAAUGCCCAGAGCCCUUUAAAAUGGGCGUUCCAACCCGCCCUCUCUCUCUUUUCUCGCGCUCUCCCCUCCUCCUUUCCUUUCGUCUCUUCACUCCCGUUCCUUGUAUGUUACCCUCCCCCAUUAAAGUUUACCCACGUGGGACCCCGCGUGUCUUGUCUCUCCUUCCCCAACCCCGCGCGUCUCGUGUCUCCCCCUCCCGAACAACACCCCCGCAUUAAAAAAUAAUAACAUUGGUGCCGUCUGCUCGGGGACCUUCUCGCCCCGGGGCCCUCACCUGAGGCCUCGGCUCUGGGUUUUGGCGCCUCCUGGAGCUCGGGGCCUCCCCCGGGACAAGGUCAGAACCGGACGACCUGCGACCACUCCACGUGUUCCAGCCAUCUCGACACGGCCCUCCCUCUCCAACCGUCAGCGGCUAAUUCCAUCCUAACGGUGACCCAGCUACUCAAGAGCCAGACAGAUACAAUCUCCAGACAGAUGCGAUUUCUUCAAUCAGCCACUUGAUGCCAGCGGACAAAACAUCGAUAUGACAUCAUCAGGACAAUAGGACGCUCCCCGGACCCCUCGACGCCCAAAGUCAGCAGGAAGCAGUCAUGAGAGACCGGGCUACGCCCCUAUUCCCUACCCGUUAAGACCCUCAACCCCCCCCUCAAUUUUUUUUUUAAUAAAACCAAAAGGGUGGAAUGUUGUUCCUUUGGAGACAAGGCCACACAUGCGCAGAAAAUACAGUCUCCAAGUGGACUACAAACCCCAAAAUGCCCAGAGCCCUUUAAAAUGGGCGUUCCAACCCGCCCUCUCUCUCUUUUCUCGCGCUCUCCCCUCCUCCUUUCCUUUCGUCUCUUCACUCCCGUUCCUUGUAUGUUACCCUCCCCCAUUAAAGUUUACCCACGUGGGA